GAUGAAGAACGUAGCGAAAUGCGAUAAGUAAUGUGAGUUGCAGAAUUCAGUGAAUCAUCGAAUCUUUGAACGCACCUUGCACCCUUUGGCAUUCCGAAGGGUAUGCUCGUUUGAGUGUCAUUGUACUCUCACACUCUCCGAUCCUAUGGAUUCGGGGAGCGGUGGACUUGGGUGUUGCUGCCUUUCCUUGUGGCUCACCUCAAAUGUGUCAGUGCACCUCUUGGUUGGACAUAGUACGGCGUGAUAAGUGUCUUCGCCGGCACCUCGCGAGAGGGUGGCCGAUCGGGAGCUCUGUGCUUUCAAACCGUCUUCGGACAAUUUCUGACAACUUGACCUCAAAUCGAGUAGGACUACCCGCUGAACUUAAGCAUAUCAAUAAGCGGAGGA
This 387-nucleotide unclassified non-coding RNA is filed under the name soil metagenome. RNAcentral describes it as "partial contains 5.8S ribosomal RNA, internal transcribed spacer 2, and large subunit ribosomal RNA". The stretch from base 1 to 120 matches the Rfam family "5.8S ribosomal RNA", at positions 35 to 154 of the family's 154-position model. The record is from RNAcentral.